Small nuclear RNA from Pteronotus mesoamericanus, 164 nucleotides. RefSeq annotates it as U1 spliceosomal RNA. NCBI's taxonomy places the organism in Eukaryota, Metazoa, Chordata, Mammalia, Chiroptera, Mormoopidae. The transcript has a single exon. The record is from RefSeq and is a predicted model, not a curated record.
AUAUUUACCUGGCAGGGGAGAUUCCAUGAUCCCAAAGGUGGUUUUCUCAGGGCGAGGCUUAUGCAUGGUACUGUGGAUAUGCCGACCCCUGCGAUUUCCCCAAAUGUGGGGAACUUGAAUGCUUAAUUGGUGGUAGUGGGGGGCUGUGUUCUCACCCUCCCCUA